AUAGGACCUGUGUGAUCUUACAUUAUGUACAACCAGAAGAAUGAGAAGUUAUACUCCCUUUAUGUAUAAUGUGUCAAAAUGCAUUCUUCUGUCAUGUAUAACUAAUUAGAACAAAUAAAAAUACUAACCUGAUCAGAUUAAAAUUCUAUACUGUGAACUGUGACCAAAGUGUAGGGUUGAAUAGGCUGAUAUCAUAUGCCCAGUAGAGAAAAUGGGAUCUUUCCUGAUGAAGUGAGGAUGGGUGGGAGUUGAGACACCUGGGAAUCUGCAGACAUGGGAGUCAAAGGGUUACACAGGUGUCUAGCUUGGGGGUGAAGUGUAAUUUGUGAGACAGUAAUUGGGAAGAGACAAGGUGUGGUUGGGAGCUUUCUGACCAGGGACUUGACCUGUCACUCUCUCCCCUUAGUCUCUGCUAAGACUUUCAUGAAAGAGUUUGGAAUUUUUUGAAAGAAGAAAAUUCCCAGGCAGUGUGAUGAGAAUAAUUCUGUGAACUGAAAGAACUUAUAGAGACCACAAUUAGAUAAAUACAGGUUUUCAACUGUUCUAGGCGUGACCUUUUCUUAGUUGAUGAGAGAGUGACCCUCUCAGAUACAUAGAGACUAUUUCACAGUCAUCAUAAUGUAGUUGAUGCCAUGGGCCUCCACAGUCCCUGGCUGGGCAAUGCUAUUUAUUUCCAACAGAUGCAGGCUUAAGAUGAAG
Molecule: long non-coding RNA, 699 nt
Filed under: Marmota monax (woodchuck)
Lineage: Eukaryota; Metazoa; Chordata; Mammalia; Rodentia; Sciuridae
Source: RNAcentral